This 322-nucleotide ribosomal RNA is filed under the name Glomus sp. 12112 JG-2015. RNAcentral's name for it is "eukaryotic LSU rRNA". The stretch from base 1 to 71 matches the Rfam family "5.8S ribosomal RNA", at positions 84 to 154 of the family's 154-position model. Lineage: Eukaryota; Fungi; Glomeromycota; Glomeromycetes; Glomerales; Glomeraceae. The record is from RNAcentral.
GUGAAUCAUCGAAUCUUUGAACGCAAAUUGCACUCCCUGGCAUUCCGGGGAGUAUGCCUGUUUGAGGGUCAGUCUAAGUAAAAUCGGGGUGUUGCUCUUUGGCGGCAUUUCGGAAUUGGGUCAUCUUAACUUUGGUAAGAGGCCUGAAAUUGAUAUCUCAGACAUCCUGGACGUGUAUAAUAAAUUCUUUAUCCGUUUCGGGUGCCAAAUCCUUACUAGGUACGAUCAUGUCGUGUGAGUUCGUGCCUAUAAUUUUCUCAUUGAUUUGACCUCAAAUCAGGUAGGGAUACCCGCUGAACUUAAGCAUAUCAAUAAGCGGAGG